Molecule: ribosomal RNA, 491 nt
Filed under: uncultured bacterium
Lineage: Bacteria
Description: partial 16S ribosomal RNA
Rfam family: Bacterial small subunit ribosomal RNA
Source: RNAcentral
AGUGAACGCUGGCGGUAGGCCUAACACAUGCAAGUCGAACGGCAGCACAGUAAGAGCUUGCUCUUACGGGUGGCGAGUGGCGGACGGGUGAGGAAUACAUCGGAAUCUACUUUUUCGUGGGGGAUAACGUAGGGAAACUUACGCUAAUACCGCAUACUACCUACGGGUGAAAGCAGGGGAGCUUCGGACCUUGCGCGAUUGAAUGAGCCGAUGUCGGAUUAGCUAGUUGGCAGGGUAAAGGCCCACCAAGGCGACGUUCCGUAGCUGGUCUGAGAGGAUGGUCACCCACACUGGAACUGGGACACGGUACAGCUUCCUACGGGAGGCAGCAGUGGGAAAUAUUGGACAAUGGGCGCAAGCCUGAUCCAGCCAUGCCGCGUGGGUGAAGAAGGCCUUCGGGUUGUAAAGCCCUUUUGUUGGGAAAGAAAAGCAGCAGGUGAAUACCCCGCUGUUCUGACGGUACCCAAAGAAUAAGCACCGGCUAACUUCGU